AGUGAACGCUGGCGGUAGGCCUAACACAUGCAAGUCGAACGGCAGCACAGUAAGAGCUUGCUCUUACGGGUGGCGAGUGGCGGACGGGUGAGGAAUACAUCGGAAUCUACUUUUUCGUGGGGGAUAACGUAGGGAAACUUACGCUAAUACCGCAUACGACCUACGGGUGAAAGCAGGGGAUCUUCGGACCUUGCGCGGUUGAAUGAGCCGAUGUCGGAUUAGCUAGUUGGCGGGGUAAAGGCCCACCAAGGCGACGAUCCGUAGCUGGUCUGAGAGGAUGAUCAGCCACACUGGAACUGAGACACGGUCCAGACUCCUACGGGAGGCAGCAGUGGGGAAUAUUGGACAAAGGGCGCAAGCCUGACCCAGCCAUACCGCGUGGGUGAAGAAGGCCUUCGGGUUGUAAAGCCCUUUUGUUGGGAAAGAAAAGCAGCAGGUUAAUACCCCGCUGUUCUGACGGUACCCAAAGAAUAAGCACCGGCUAACUUCGUG
Molecule: ribosomal RNA, 492 nt
Filed under: uncultured bacterium
Lineage: Bacteria
Description: partial 16S ribosomal RNA
Rfam family: Bacterial small subunit ribosomal RNA
Source: RNAcentral